Molecule: small nuclear RNA, 136 nt
Filed under: Oesophagostomum dentatum (nodular worm)
Lineage: Eukaryota; Metazoa; Nematoda; Chromadorea; Rhabditida; Strongylidae
Description: U4 spliceosomal RNA
Rfam family: U4 spliceosomal RNA
About the family: U4 small nuclear RNA (U4 snRNA) is a component of the major U2-dependent spliceosome. The structure of U4 snRNA from yeast and human has been reported. U4 snRNA presents a k-turn RNA motif in the 5p-SL related to recognition of Snu13 protein.
Source: Rfam by way of RNAcentral
AGCUUUGCAGAGAAGCGAUAACGUAACCAAUGAGGCUUUGCCGAGAUGCGUUUAUUGCUUGUUGAAAACUUUCCCAAAAUAUAUUUGAAGUGAACUGACUACAGUGAAAGGGACGUUUUUGUAGGUCUAUCGAAGU